GCCAGUGCCCAGGCUCUGGCUCCGUGUCUUCACUCCCGUGUCUGUCCGAGGAGGGAGGGAGGGACGGGGGCUGUGCUGGGGCCGCUGGA
This is a microRNA precursor of Ochotona princeps (American pika), 89 nucleotides long. The record is from Ensembl. Lineage: Eukaryota; Metazoa; Chordata; Mammalia; Lagomorpha; Ochotonidae.